This 230-nucleotide ribosomal RNA is filed under the name uncultured bacterium. Its description in RNAcentral is "partial 16S ribosomal RNA". It matches the Rfam family "Bacterial small subunit ribosomal RNA", at positions 28 to 279 of the family's 1533-position model. The record is from RNAcentral.
AGACGAACGCUGGCGGCAGGCUUAACACAUGCAAGUCGAACGGGCGUAGCAAUAACGUCAGUGGCAGACGGGUGAGUAACGCGUGGGAACGGUACCUUUUGGUUCGGAACAACCCAGGGAAACGUUGGGCUAAUACCGGAUAAGCCCUUACGGGAAAGAUUUAUCGCCGAAAGAUCGGCCCGCGUCUCGAUUAGCUAAGUUGGUGUGGUAACGGCGCACCAAGGCGACGG